CAGUUGGCUGUUGUUUGAACUUGGUUGCUUUAUAUUUCGGUGAAAACGGUGGAAAGUGCAGUGGAGCCUCCGGAUUGCAGCUGACGCAUCUGCCCCGUGCAGGAGGAAAGGACAGAUUGGCGGGGGGACCCAGCCCUGCGAAGUGCUCCCGAGACCAUGACC
Myotis davidii is the source of this 162-nucleotide long non-coding RNA. RefSeq lists it as uncharacterized. Lineage: Eukaryota; Metazoa; Chordata; Mammalia; Chiroptera; Vespertilionidae. The record is from RefSeq and is a predicted model, not a curated record. The transcript has 2 exons.